AGAGUUUGAUCAUGGCUCAGGACGAACGCUGGCGGCGCGCCUAACACAUGCAAGUCGAACGAGCGAGAGAGAGCUUGCUUUCUCGAGCGAGUGGCGAACGGGUGAGUAACGCGUGAGGAACCUGCCUCAAAGAGGGGGACAACAGUUGGAAACGACUGCUAAUACCGCAUAAGCCCACGACCCGGCAUCGGGUAGAGGGAAAAGGAGCAAUCCGCUUUGAGAUGGCCUCGCGUCCGAUUAGCUAGUUGGUGAGGUAACGGCCACCAAGGCGACGAUCGGUAGCCGGACUGAGAGGUUGAACGGCCACAUUGGGACUGAGACACGGCCCAGACUCCGUACGGGAGCA
RNAcentral lists this ribosomal RNA (346 nucleotides) under uncultured bacterium. RNAcentral describes it as "bacterial SSU rRNA". It matches the Rfam family "Bacterial small subunit ribosomal RNA", at positions 8 to 349 of the family's 1533-position model. The record is from RNAcentral.